This 411-nucleotide ribosomal RNA is filed under the name Triticum aestivum (bread wheat). RNAcentral describes it as "partial small subunit ribosomal RNA". The record is from RNAcentral. Lineage: Eukaryota; Viridiplantae; Streptophyta; Magnoliopsida; Poales; Poaceae.
AUGCCACGGAGCUCGUCAAGGUGCCCUCCCGUCCCUCUUCACCUCCAUGUGUCUGUCUAUUCGAUUUGGUCCUCUGAUUCAACUUUCUCACACACGGGGAUGGCUGUUGUGCUCUGUUCGUGUUCGCGCUCGUGCAACUCCCUCUCUGCUGCAGGAGGAUUGGAUUGGAUUGGUUUCUACUUCUAUUCUCUGUUUGAGAACCUGAGAUGCAGCCCUCCAAAUCUUAGGCCCCAGAAGGAGGAUUUGAGAGUGGAGAGCCUGAAUGUGAUUUGGUGGAAGGAGUUGUCCAAGAAUCAAAUUGUUAUUAUUUUACUGUUCUGCAAGAGAGAAUCUAAAGAUUAUUUGUUUCUUUUUAUGCUUGCAAAUCGUGUUUGCUGUUCGGGAUUCACACCCUGCAUUGAUAAGGUCUGA